UAGGGAAUCUUCCGCAAUGGGCGAAAGCCUGACGGAGCANCGCCGCGUGAGCGAAGAAGGCCUUCGGGUCGUAAAGCUCUGUUGUCAGGGAAGAACAAGUACCGGAGUAACUGCCGGUACCUUGACGGUACCUGACCAGAAAGCCCCGGCUAACUACGUGCCAGCAGCCGCGGUAAUACGUAGGGGGCGAGCGUUGUCCGGAAUCAUUGGGCGUAAAGCGCGCGCAGGCGGUCCCUUAAGUCUGAUGUGAAAUCUUGCGGCUCAACCGCAAGGGGUCAUUGGAAACUGGGGGACUUGAGUGCAGGAGAGGGAAGCGGAAUUCCAUGUGUAGCGGUGAAAUGCGUAGAGAUAUGGAGGAACACCAGUGGCGAAGGCGGCUUCCUGGCCUGUAACUGACGCUCAGGCGCGAAAGCGUGGGGAGCAAACAGGAUUAGAUACCCUGGUAGUCCACGCCGUAAACGAUGAGUGCUAAGUGUUGGAGGGGUUUACCCUUUAA
Molecule: ribosomal RNA, 496 nt
Filed under: uncultured bacterium
Lineage: Bacteria
Description: bacterial SSU rRNA
Rfam family: Bacterial small subunit ribosomal RNA
Source: RNAcentral